GACAGAGGUGGCAAGCGUUGUUCGGAUUCAUUGGGUGUAAAGGGUCCGUAGGCGGCCAACUAAGUCAGACGUGAAAUCCCUCGGCUUAACCGGGGAACUGCGUCUGAUACUGGAUGGCUAGAGGUUGGGAGAGGGAUGCGGAAUUCCAGGUGUAGCGGUGAAAUGCGUAGAUAUCUGGAGGAACACCGGUGGCGAAGGCGGCAUCCUGGACCAAUUCUGACGCUGAGGAGCGAAAGCCAGGGGAGCAAACGGG
Molecule: ribosomal RNA, 253 nt
Filed under: uncultured bacterium
Lineage: Bacteria
Description: partial 16S ribosomal RNA
Rfam family: Bacterial small subunit ribosomal RNA
Source: RNAcentral